CAGUCGCCGCGGUAAUGCGAAGGGUGCAAGCGUUAAUCGGAAUUACUGGGCGUAAAGCGUGCGUAGGCGGUUUGUUAAGUCUGUUGUGAAAUCCCCGGGCUCAACCUGGGAAUGGCAAUGGAUACUGGCAAGCUAGAGUGUGUCAGAGGAUGGUGGAAUUCCCGGUGUAGCGGUGAAAUGCGUAGAGAUCGGGAGGAACAUCAGUGGCGAAGGCGGCCAUCUGGGACAACACUGACGCUGAGGCACGAAAGCGUGGGGAGCAAACAGGAUUAGAUACCCCAGUAGUCCCUGUCUCUUAUAC
Molecule: ribosomal RNA, 301 nt
Filed under: uncultured bacterium
Lineage: Bacteria
Description: partial 16S ribosomal RNA
Rfam family: Bacterial small subunit ribosomal RNA
Source: RNAcentral